CCUACGGGUUGCAGCAGUGGGGAAUAUUGGACAAUGGGCGAAAGCCUGAUCCAGCCAUGCCGCGUGUGUGAAGAAGGUCUUCGGAUUGUAAAGCACUUUAAGUUGGGAGGAAGGGCAGUAAGUUAAUACCUUGCUGUUUUGACGUUACCAACAGAAUAAGCACCGGCUAACUUCGUGCCAGCAGCCGCGGUAAUACGAAGGGUGCAAGCGUUAAUCGGAAUUACUGGGCGUAAAGCGCGCGUAGGUGGUUCAGCAAGUUGGAUGUGAAAUCCCCGGGCUCAACCUGGGAACUGCAUCCAAAACUACUGAGCUAGAGUACGGUAGAGGGUGGUGGAAUUUCCUGUGUAGCGGUGAAAUGCGUAGAUAUAGGAAGGAACACCAGUGGCGAAGGCGACCACCUGGACUGAUACUGACACUGAGGUGCGAAAGCGUGGGGAGCAAACAGGAUUAGAUACCCGAGUAGUC
Molecule: ribosomal RNA, 465 nt
Filed under: uncultured bacterium
Lineage: Bacteria
Description: bacterial SSU rRNA
Rfam family: Bacterial small subunit ribosomal RNA
Source: RNAcentral